Molecule: ribosomal RNA, 246 nt
Filed under: uncultured bacterium
Lineage: Bacteria
Description: partial 16S ribosomal RNA
Rfam family: Bacterial small subunit ribosomal RNA
Source: RNAcentral
GUAUGGAGCAAGCGUUAUCCGGAUUUACUGGGUGUAAAGGGAGCGCAGACGGCAGGGCAAGUCUGAUGUGAAAGUCCGGGGCUCAACCCCGGGACUGCAUUGGAAACUGUCCGGCUAGAGUGCAGGAGAGGUAAGUGGAAUUCCUAGUGUAGCGGUGAAAUGCGUAGAUAUUAGGAGGAACACCAGUGGCGAAGGCGGCUUACUGGACUGUAACUGACGUUGAGGCUCGAAAGCGUGGGGAGCAAA